RNAcentral lists this ribosomal RNA (274 nucleotides) under uncultured bacterium. RNAcentral's name for it is "partial 16S ribosomal RNA". It matches the Rfam family "Bacterial small subunit ribosomal RNA", at positions 523 to 796 of the family's 1533-position model. The record is from RNAcentral.
AUACAGAGGGUGCAAGCGUUAAUCGGAAUUACUGGGCGUAAGGCGCGCGUAGGCGGUUUGGUCAGUCAGAUGUGAAAGCCCCGGGCUCAACCUGGGAACUGCAUUUGAAACUGGCAGGCUAGAGUAUGGUAGAGGGGGGUAGAAUUUCUGGUGUAGCGGUGAAAUGCGUAGAUAUCCGGAGGAACACCAGUGGCGAAGGCGGCUUCCUGGACUAAUACUGACACUGAGGUACGAAAGCGUGGGGAGCAAACAGGAUUAGAUACCCUGGUAGUCC